GCGCCGUUAGCUCAAUGGAUAGAGUCGCAGACUUCGAAUCUGUCGGUUGGGGGUUCGAGUCCCUCACGGCGUGCCA
RNAcentral lists this transfer RNA (76 nucleotides) under Bacillota bacterium. RNAcentral's name for it is "tRNA-Arg". It matches the Rfam family "tRNA". Rfam says of the family: Transfer RNA (tRNA) molecules are approximately 80 nucleotides in length. Their secondary structure includes four short double-helical elements and three loops (D, anti-codon, and T loops). The record is from RNAcentral. RNAcentral also lists the same sequence under 2 other names. Lineage: Bacteria; Bacillati; Bacillota.